RNAcentral lists this transfer RNA (75 nucleotides) under Phelsuma dubia. Its description in RNAcentral is "tRNA-Tyr". Lineage: Eukaryota; Metazoa; Chordata; Lepidosauria; Squamata; Gekkonidae. The record is from RNAcentral.
CCGUACUUGGUAGUGAGGGGGUCCAGCCCCGUGGACGAGGCUACAACUCGUCGCCUAAUCCUCGGCCACCCUACC